AAGUUAUUUACUCAACAUUGAAUGUUUCAGUGUUUUAGUUGUGUCUCAGAUCAAUUAGUAGAACACGUGAACAAGACGGUAGCAGACAUAAACAAGACAAGAUAGCUCCCCUACGAUCGUCACACUUUUUCUGUUACAAACUGACACCGGCCCCCCCA
Molecule: long non-coding RNA, 158 nt
Organism: Hippocampus zosterae (dwarf seahorse)
Lineage: Eukaryota; Metazoa; Chordata; Actinopteri; Syngnathiformes; Syngnathidae
Exons: 2
Source: RefSeq, a predicted model, not a curated record